GGAUUACCUCAGUAACGGCGAGUGAAGCGGUAACAGCUCAAAUUUGAAAUCUGGCCUCACGGUCCGAGUUGUAAUUUGUAGAGGAUGUUUCGAGCAUGGUCUGGCCUAAGUUCCUUGGAACAGGACGUCAUAGAGGGUGAGAAUCCCGUAUGCGGCCAGGUGCCUACGCUCAUGUGAAGCUCCUUCGACGAGUCGAGUUGUUUGGGAAUGCAGCUCAAAAUGGGUGGUAAAUUUCAUCUAAAGCUAAAUAUUGGCCAGAGACCGAUAGCGCACAAGUAGAGUGAUCGAAAGAUGAAAAGCACUUUGGAAAGAGAGUUAAACAGUACGUGAAAUUGUUGAAAGGGAAGCGCUUGCAACCAGACUUGCGCGCGGCUGAUCAUCCGGUGUUCUCACUGGUGCACUCGGUCGCGCUCAGGCCAGCAUCGGUUUUGGUGGUUGGAUAAAGGUCCUAGGAAUGUAGCUCCUCUCGGGGAGUGUUAUAGCCUAGGGCGCAAUGCAGCCUACCGGGACCGAGGACCGCGCUUCGGCUAGGAUGCUGGCGUAAUGGUUGUAAGCGGCCCGUCUUGAAACACGGACCAAGGAGUCUAACAUCUAUGCGAGUAUUUGGGUGUCAAACCCAUAUGCGUAAUGAAAGUGAACGGAGGUGAGAACCCUUAAGGGUGCAUCAUCGACCGAUCCUGAUGUCUUCGGAUGGAUUUGAGUAAGAGCAUAGCUGUUGGGACCCGAAAGAUGGUGAACUAUGCCUGAAUAGGGUGAAGCCAGAGGAAACUCUGGUGGAGGCUCGCAGCGGUUCUGACGUGCAAAUCGAUCGUCAAAUUUGGGUAUAGGGGCGAAAGACUAAUCGAACCAUCUAGUAGCUGGUUCU
Molecule: ribosomal RNA, 865 nt
Filed under: Thelebolales sp.
Lineage: Eukaryota; Fungi; Ascomycota; Leotiomycetes; Thelebolales
Description: partial large subunit ribosomal RNA
Rfam family: Eukaryotic large subunit ribosomal RNA
Source: RNAcentral